RNAcentral lists this ribosomal RNA (484 nucleotides) under uncultured bacterium. RNAcentral's name for it is "partial 16S ribosomal RNA". It matches the Rfam family "Bacterial small subunit ribosomal RNA", at positions 30 to 507 of the family's 1533-position model. The record is from RNAcentral.
AUUGAACGCUGGCGGCAGGCCUAACACAUGCAAGUCGAGCGGAUGAAGGGAGCUUGCUCCUGGAUUCAGCGGCGGACGGGUGAGUAAUGCCUAGGAAUCUGCCUGGUAGUGGGGGAUAACGUCCGGAAACGGGCGCUAAUACCGCAUACGUCCUGAGGUAGAAAGUGGGGGAUCUUCGGACCUCACGCUAUCAGAUGAGCCUAGGUCGGAUUAGCUAGUUGGUGGGGUAAAGGCCUACCAAGGCGACGAUCCGUAACUGGUCUGAGAGGAUGAUCAGUCACACUGGAACUGAGACACGGUCCAGACUCCUACGGGAGGCAGCAGUGGGGAAUAUUGGACAAUGGGCGAAAGCCUGAUCCAGCCAUGCCGCGUGUGUGAAGAAGGUCUUCGGAUUGUAAAGCACUUUAAGUUGGGAGGAAGGGCAGUAAGUCAAUACCUUGCUGUUUUGACGUUACCAACAGAAUAAGCACCGGCUAACUUCGUG